UUUUUUAAGAGUUUGAUCCUGGCUCAGGAUGAACGCUAGCGGCGUGUCUAAGAUAUGCAAGUCGAACGUCCUUUCCGAUUUAUCGGAAGGGUAGUGGCGGACGGCUGAGUAACACGUAGGAACCUACCCAUCGGUGGGGUAUAACUUCGGGAAACCGAGGGUAAUCCCCCAUAAUAUCCCCGGAUUAAAGGGCAUAACUGCUCGCCGACGGAGGGGCCUGCGGCCUAUCAGGUAGUUGGUAAGGUAACGGCUUACCAAGCCUAUGACGGGUAGCUGACCUCAUGAGGGUGAUCAGCCAGAGGAGGACUGAGAACGGCCUCCACACCUACGGGUGGCAGCAAUCAAGAAUCGUUGGCAAUGGGCGAAAGCCUGACCACGCGACGCCGCGUGCGGGAUGAAGCCUUUCGGGGUGUAAACCGCUGUGGUAGGGGAAGAAGUCCCGAUUUAUCGGGAUUGACGGUACCCUACUAGAAAGUAGCCGCUAACUUCGUGCCAGAAGCGUCGGUGAUACGAAGGCUACAAGCGUUAUCCGGUGUGACUGGGUGUAAAGGGUUCGUAGGCGGUCUAUCAAGUUACUUUUUAAAUAUCUCUGCCCACCAGAGGAAAGGGAAGUAAGACUGUUAGACUGGAGUUAUUUUUAGGGUAAUCGGAAUUAAUAGAGGAGUAGUGAAAUGCGUUGAUACUAUUAGGAACACCAAUGGCGAAGGCAGAUUACUGGAAGAUAACUGACGCUGAGGAACGAAAGCUAGGGGAGCAAACCGGAUUAGAGACCCGGGUAGUCCUAGCCGUAAACGAUGCUCGCUAGUUGCAUUUGCUGUUUUUUUAGCAGUGAGUGUGGCGAAGCUAACGCGUUAAGCGAGCCACCUGGGAAGUACGACCGCAAGGUUGAAACUCAAAGGAAUUGGCGGGGAGACACACAACUAGUGGAUCAUGUGGUUUAAUUCGAUAUGAACCGAAGAACCUUACCAAGGUUUGACAUGCAAUUGCACGCCUCGGGAAACCGAGGAAGCCUUAGAGGGUAUUGCACAGCUGCUGCAUGGCUGUCGUCAGUUCGUUCCGUGAGGAGUGCCCUUAAGUGGGACAACGAACGUAACCCUUGCCCUAUGUUAUAUUUGUCAUAGGGAACUGCCUAGCCGAUGGUUGGGAGGAAGGAGAGGCAGACGUCAAGUCAUCAUGGCGCUUACGCCUUGGGCCACACACAUGAUACAAUGAGAUAGACAAAAGGUAGCCAAACGGUAACGUGGAGCUAAUCCUCUAAACUAUCUCUCAGUGGGGAUAGAGGUCUGAAACUCGACCUCUUGAACAUGGAAUUAGUAGUAAUCGCGGAUCAGCCACGCCGCGGUGAAUACGUUCUUGUCUCUUGCACACACUGCCCGUCAAGCCAACAAAGUCGGGGGUACCUGAAGGCUUACUUUAUGUAGGACGAGGGUAAAAUCGGCGAUGGGGACUAAGUCGUAACAAGGUACCCGUUCUGGAAGGAGCGGGUGAAUCACCUCCUUU
Molecule: ribosomal RNA, 1500 nt
Filed under: Candidatus Woesebacteria bacterium
Lineage: Bacteria; Candidatus Woeseibacteriota
Description: bacterial SSU rRNA
Rfam family: Bacterial small subunit ribosomal RNA
Source: RNAcentral